GUGAGGAAUAUUGCGCAAUGGGCGAAAGCCUGACGCAGCGACGCCGCGUGGAGGAUGAAGGUCUUCGGAUUGUAAACUCCUGUCGUCCGGGACGAAUGCCGGAGAGGUUAACAGCCUCUCCGGUUGACGGUACCGGAGGAGGAAGCCCCGGCUAACUCCGUGCCAGCAGCCGCGGUAAUACGGAGGGGGCCAGCGUUGUUCGGAAUCAUUGGGCGUAAAGGGCGCGUAGGCGGCUGGUCAAGUCGGACGUGAAAUCCCUCGGCUCAACCGAGGAACUGCGUCCGAUACUGUCCGGCUUGAGUCCCGGAGAGGGUAGUGGAAUUCCCGGUGUAGCGGUGAAAUGCGUAGAUACUGGGAGGAACACCAGUGGCGAAGGCGGCUACCUGGACGGGUACUGACGCUGAGGCGCGAAAGCUAGGGGAGCAAACAGGAUUAGAUACCCUUGUAGUCC
Molecule: ribosomal RNA, 451 nt
Filed under: uncultured bacterium
Lineage: Bacteria
Description: bacterial SSU rRNA
Rfam family: Bacterial small subunit ribosomal RNA
Source: RNAcentral